GCCAAGGUGGCAGAAAAUGCGUGUAAUUUAGGGUUAUAGAGGGAAAUAAUGGCU
Molecule: transfer RNA, 54 nt
Filed under: Centrorhynchus clitorideus
Lineage: Eukaryota; Metazoa; Acanthocephala; Palaeacanthocephala; Polymorphida; Centrorhynchidae
Description: tRNA-Leu
Source: RNAcentral